This is a long non-coding RNA of Vicia villosa (hairy vetch), 393 nucleotides long. RefSeq lists it as uncharacterized. NCBI's taxonomy places the organism in Eukaryota, Viridiplantae, Streptophyta, Magnoliopsida, Fabales, Fabaceae. The record is from RefSeq and is a predicted model, not a curated record. The transcript is spliced from 2 exons.
UAUUGAUUGAAGAUGAUGUGCAAACGAUGCGUAAACACGGGGCUGCCACUGGAGGCUCUUUGAUGAAGGUGAUGCCACAACACCUCUUUGGAUUCACGGGAACUUUGGAUAUUAAGGAGACUUGAAGAUGAUCUUCAAGUGGAAACCUUCCACCAAGGUAUGAACUAUUUCUUCACCCUUUUUCAAACUAUGGAACUUUGAAAAUUAUGAAAAGAGAGAAGUGAGAAAGCUAGUAGUAUAGUAGCUUUGGUGUGAUUUGCAAUGAAGAGAACACCUCUAUUUAUAGGAAAAGCUUAGGAUGUGUUUGGCAUAAAAAUUAACUUGAUUGGCAAGAUUGUAAUCAUUGAGAAAAUAAGAAUAAGAAUAAGAAUAUUCUCCAUGUCAUUAUGCAAA